Molecule: long non-coding RNA, 1442 nt
Filed under: Equus caballus (horse)
Lineage: Eukaryota; Metazoa; Chordata; Mammalia; Perissodactyla; Equidae
Description: lncRNA (ENSECAG00000052127.1)
Source: RNAcentral
CAGAACCACUUGUCGGACACUCCGGAAUCACCUGACGGGCAUGCUGAAACCACCUCUCAGACGUGCCACAACCACGUGGCGGACAGUCCGGAAUCACCUGCUGGGCAUGCAGGAACCACCUCUCAGACGUACCACAACCAUGUGCGGCACACACCCGAACCCUCUACGGGACAGACCGGAACCACGUACCGGACACGCUGGAAACACCUGACGUGAAGGCCAGAACCACGUGAACGGCUCACCAGAAACACCUGCCGGACACGCCAAAAUAACCUGACGGCUGUGCCAGAACCACUUGCCGGACACUCCAGAAUCACCUGUCAGGGAUGCCGGAACUACCUCUCAGACGUGCCAGAACCAUGUGCCAGACACGCCGGAACCACCUGCCAAGUAUGCCGGAACCACCUGAUCCACUCCCCAGAACCACCUGCCGGACAUGCCAAAAUCACUUGCCAGCUGCGUCAGAACCACUUGGCAGACACUCCGGAAUCACAUGCUGGUCAUGCCGGAACCACCUCUCAAACAUGCAAGAACCACAUACCAGAGACGCCGGAAGCAUGUGUUGAGCAUGCCAGAACCACCUGUGCCACUCCACAGAACCACCUGCCAGACACGCCAAAAUUACCUGCCGGCUAUGCCAGAACCACUUGGCGGACACUCCAGAAUCACCUGCCAGGCAUGCCGGAACCACCUCUCAGAUGUGCCACAACCACGUGCCGGAGAGACCGGAAGCACCUGCCGAGCUCGUCGGAACCACCUGCCUGACACGCCAAACUCACAUGCCGGUUACGCCAAAACCACUUUGUGGACACUCCAGAAUCACCUUCCGGGCAUACUGGAACCACGUCAUGGACAGAUUGCAAACACCUGCAGGAACGGCCUGAACCCCCUGCCGAGAACGCCGGAACCACCUGCUCGACUCGCCAGAACCACCUGCCAGACCCGCCUGAACCACCUGCUGAGCACGCUGGAAGAACCUGCUCGAAGCGCUGGAGCCACCUGCUGGACAUGCCAAAAUCACCAGCCGGCUAUGCCAGAACCACUUGCCGGACACUCCGGAAUCACCUGCCGGACAUGCCGGAACCAGCUCUCAGACACACCAGAACCACGUGCCGGAGACGCCGGAAGCACCUGCCGAGCAUGCCUGAGCCACCUGCUCGACUCGCCAGAAACACCUGCCGGACAUGCCAAAAUCAGCUGCCGGGUACACCAGAACCACAUGGCGGACACACCAGAAUCCCCUGCCACGCAUGCCCGAACCACCUCUGAGACGAGCCGGAAGCACGUGUCGGACACGCCAGAAACAUCUACCUGACAGACCGGAACCACCUGCCAGACAUGCCGGAACCAACUGCCGAGCACGCCGGAGCCACCUGCUCGACUCACCGUUACCACCUGCCGCACAGGCCAAAAUUAACAGCUGGCUAUGCGGGAGCCACCUG